AGUGGGGAAUAUUGGACAAUGGGCGCAAGCCUGAUCCAGCCAUGCCGCGUGAGUGAUGAAGGCCUUAGGGUUGUAAAGCUCUUUCAGUGGGGAAGAUAAUGACGGUACCCACAGAAGAAGCCCCGGCUAACUUCGUGCCAGCAGCCGCGGUAAUACGAAGGGGGCUAGCGUUGUUCGGAUUUACUGGGCGUAAAGCGCACGUAGGCGGAUCGUUAAGUCAGGGGUGAAAUCCUGGAGCUCAACUCCAGAACUGCCUUUGAUACUGGCGAUCUCGAGUCCGGAAGAGGUGAGUGGAACUCCUAGUGUAGAGGUGGAAUUCGUAGAUAUUAGGAAGAACACCAGUGGCGAAGGCGGCUCACUGGUCCGGUACUGACGCUGAGGUGCGAAAGCGUGGGGAGCAAA
Molecule: ribosomal RNA, 402 nt
Filed under: uncultured Devosia sp.
Lineage: Bacteria; Pseudomonadati; Pseudomonadota; Alphaproteobacteria; Hyphomicrobiales; Devosiaceae
Description: bacterial SSU rRNA
Rfam family: Bacterial small subunit ribosomal RNA
Source: RNAcentral